UGUAAGGCUGAAACAGCAACUCUUUGAUGCUCAAGUUGAUGAAAGGAUGAUGGAUCGUGGCUCAAAGAUGCUUGAUGUAGCUCAAAAAUGCAACUACCAUUGAUGGAGCUUGAUGUAACAGUCCACGAUUCUGCUCAACAGUGGCGAUUUCUUGCUGCAAUUCAACUCCAAUAGGCUUGUGUAUGUUGGAACAACAAAGAUCAAUGCCAGUUCUAUGAAGAUUU
This 224-nucleotide long non-coding RNA is filed under the name Lathyrus oleraceus (garden pea). Its description in RNAcentral is "Pisum sativum (pea) long non-coding RNA (PSAT_LNC024137)". Lineage: Eukaryota; Viridiplantae; Streptophyta; Magnoliopsida; Fabales; Fabaceae. The record is from RNAcentral.